AUUGAACGCUGGCGGCAUGCCUUACACAUGCAAGUCGAACGGUAACAGGUCUUCGGAUGCUGACGAGUGGCGAACGGGUGAGUAAUACAUCGGAACGUGCCCGAGAGUGGGGGAUAACGGAGCGAAAGCUUUGCUAAUACCGCAUACGAUCUACGGAUGAAAGCAGGGGACCGCAAGGCCUUGCGCUCAUGGAGCGGCCGAUGGCAGAUUAGGUAGUUGGUGGGAUAAAAGCUUACCAAGCCGACGAUCUGUAGCUGGUCUGAGAGGACGACCAGCCACACUGGGACUGAGACACGGCCCAGACUCCUACGGGAGGCAGCAGUGGGGAAUUUUGGACAAUGGGCGCAAGCCUGAUCCAGCCAUGCCGCGUGCAGGAUGAAGGCCUUCGGGUUGUAAACUGCUUUUGUACGGAACGAAAAGCCUCUUUCGAAUAAAGAGAGGUCAUGACGGUACCGUAAGAAUAAGCACCGGCUAACUACGUGCCAGCCGCCGCAGUAA
This 498-nucleotide ribosomal RNA is filed under the name uncultured bacterium. RNAcentral describes it as "partial 16S ribosomal RNA". It matches the Rfam family "Bacterial small subunit ribosomal RNA", at positions 30 to 523 of the family's 1533-position model. The record is from RNAcentral.